CCUACGGGUGGCAGCAGUGAGGAAUAUUGGUCAAUGGCCGGAAGGCUGAACCAGCCAAGCCGCGUGAAGGACGACUGUGCCAAGCAUUGUAAACUUCUUUUGUCAAGGGACAAAAUCAGGCUCGAGAGCCUGACCAAGGGUACUUGAAGAAAAAGCAUCGGCUAACUCCGUGCCAGCAGCCGCGGUAAUACGGAGGAUGCGAGCGUUAUCCGGAUUUAUUGGGUUUAAAGGGUGCGUAGGCGGACUGUUAAGUCAGCGGUAAAAGUCCGGGGCUCAACCCCGGCAAGCCGUUGAAACUGGCUGUCUUGAGAUGUCGAGAGGUAUGCGGAAUGCGCGGUGUAGCGGUGAAAUGCUUAGAUAUUGCGCAGAACUCCGAUUGCGAAGGCAGCAUACCGGCGGCGAUCUGACGCUGAGGCACGAAAGCGUGGGUAUCGAACAGGAUUAGAUACCCGGGUAGUC
Molecule: ribosomal RNA, 459 nt
Filed under: uncultured bacterium
Lineage: Bacteria
Description: partial 16S ribosomal RNA
Rfam family: Bacterial small subunit ribosomal RNA
Source: RNAcentral